This 392-nucleotide ribosomal RNA is filed under the name uncultured bacterium. Its description in RNAcentral is "bacterial SSU rRNA". It matches the Rfam family "Bacterial small subunit ribosomal RNA", at positions 29 to 416 of the family's 1533-position model. The record is from RNAcentral.
AACGAACGCUGGCGGCGUGCUUAACACAUGCAAGUCGAACGCGAAAUUUUUCUUCGGAAAGAGAGUAGAGUGGCGCACGGGUGAGUAACGCGUAAGUAAUCUACCCUGGUAUCUGGGAUAACCCACCGAAAGGUGUGCUAAUACCGGAUACGCUGAGUAAUCAGGAAAGGUGGCCUCUUCAUGAAAGCUACUGUACCAGGAGGAGCUUGCGUACCAUUAGCUAGUUGGUAGGGUAAUGGCCUACCAAGGCAACGAUGGUUAGCGGGUCUGAGAGGAUGAUCCGCCACACUGGAACUGGAACACGGACCAGACUCCUACGGGAGGCAGCAGUGAGGAAUAUUGCGCAAUGGGGGAAACCCUGACGCAGCGACGCCGCGUGGAUGAUGAAGGCC